This 314-nucleotide unclassified non-coding RNA is filed under the name uncultured fungus. Its description in RNAcentral is "partial contains 5.8S ribosomal RNA, internal transcribed spacer 2, and large subunit ribosomal RNA". The stretch from base 1 to 52 matches the Rfam family "5.8S ribosomal RNA", at positions 103 to 154 of the family's 154-position model. The record is from RNAcentral. Lineage: Eukaryota; Fungi.
AACGCACCUUGCGCCCUUUGGUAUUCCGAGGGGCAUGCCUGUUUGAGUGUCAUUAAAUUAUCAACCUUUACUGGCUUUUGCUUUGUAAAAGGAUUGGAAGUGGGGGUAUACAUUUUGUAGGUUUUUUGAAUAAAGAAAUCUGCUCCCCUCAAAUGCAUUAGCGGUUUCCUUGUGGACUCGUCUAUUAGUGUGAUAAGUAUAUCUACGCUGUUAGAUGUCUACUCUAAGGGUAUAUGCUGCUUCUAACCGUCCUUCAUUGGAUAACUAUUUUGACUCUUGACCUCAAAUCAGGUAGGACUACCCGCUGAACUUAA